Molecule: ribosomal RNA, 494 nt
Filed under: uncultured bacterium
Lineage: Bacteria
Description: partial 16S ribosomal RNA
Rfam family: Bacterial small subunit ribosomal RNA
Source: RNAcentral
GACGAACGCUGGCGGCGUGCUUAACACAUGCAAGUCGAACGGAAAGGCCUGCUUUCCCUUGUGGAUUGCGGGUACUCGAGUGGCGAACGGGUGAGUAACACGUGAGUGAUCUGCCCCCAACUUGGGUAUAAGCCUGGGAAACUGGGUCUAAUUCCCGAUAGGACUGCAGGGUGGUGCCUGUGGUGGAAAACGAUUUUCUAGUGGUUGGGGAUGAGCUCGCGGCCUAUCAGCUUGUUGGUGGGGUAAUGGCCUACCGAGGCGGCGACGGGUAGCCGGCCUGAGAGGGUGGACGGCCACAUUGGGACUGAGAUACGGCCCAGACUCCUACGGGAGGCAGCAGUGGGGAAUAUGGCACAAUGGGCGGAAGCCUGAUGCAGCGACGCCGCGUGGGGGAUGACGGCCUUCGGGUUGUAAACUCCUUUCGACCGCGAGGAAGCCACCUGGUUGGAAGGGUGGUGACGGUAGUGGUAGAAGAAGCACCGGCUAACUACGUG